RNAcentral lists this small nuclear RNA (57 nucleotides) under Salmo trutta (river trout). Its description in RNAcentral is "U7 small nuclear RNA (ENSSTUG00000043875.1)". It matches the Rfam family "U7 small nuclear RNA". Rfam says of the family: Animal histone pre-mRNAs are spliced by a different mechanism than nuclear pre-mRNAs and self-splicing introns. This processing involves the U7 snRNP, which contains only one RNA species: U7. The record is from Rfam by way of RNAcentral. Lineage: Eukaryota; Metazoa; Chordata; Actinopteri; Salmoniformes; Salmonidae.
GAAAAUUUGCUCUUUUAGUAUUUCUCCAGUAGGUUUCCUCAAUGAGGAAAUGUCUAC